UACGGAGGGGGCUAGCGUUGUUCGGCAUUACUGGGCGUAAAGCGUACGUAGGCGGCUUUGUAAGUUAGAGGUGCACGCCCGGGGCUUCACCCCGGAAUUGCCUUUAAGACUGCAUCGCUAGAAUCAUGGAGAGGUGAGUGGAAUUCCGAGUGUAGAGGUGAAAUUCGUAGAUAUGCGGAAGAACACCAGUGGCGAAGGCGACUCACUGGACAUGUAUUGACGCUCAGGCACGAAAGCGUGGGGAGCAAACAGG
RNAcentral lists this ribosomal RNA (253 nucleotides) under uncultured bacterium. RNAcentral describes it as "partial 16S ribosomal RNA". It matches the Rfam family "Bacterial small subunit ribosomal RNA", at positions 524 to 776 of the family's 1533-position model. The record is from RNAcentral.